ACGUGGGUAACCUGCCUGUAAGACUGGGAUAACUCCGGGAAACCGGGGCUAAUACCGGAUAACACCUACCCCCGCAUGGGGGAAGGUUGAAAGGUGGCUUCGGCUAUCACUUACAGAUGGACCCGCGGCGCAUUAGCUAGUUGGUGAGGUAACGGCUCACCAAGGCGACGAUGCGUAGCCGACCUGAGAGGGUGAUCGGCCACACUGGGACUGAGACACGGCCCAGACUCCUACGGGAGGCAGCAGUAGGGAAUCUUCCGCAAUGGACGAAAGUCUGACGGAGCAACGCCGCGUGAGUGAAGAAGGUUUUCGGAUCGUAAAACUCUGUUGUUAGGGAAGAACAAGUGCCGUUCGAAUAGGGCGGCGCCUUGACGGUACCUAACCAGAAAGCCACGGCUAACUACGUGCCAGCAGCCGCGGUAAUACGUAGGUGGCAAGCGUUGUCCGGAAUUAUUGGGCGUAAAGCGCGCGCAGGUGGUUUCUUAAGUCUGAUGUGAAAGCCCACGGCUCAACCGUGGAGGGUCAUUGGAAACUGGGGAACUUGAGUGCAGAAGAGGAAA
This 560-nucleotide ribosomal RNA is filed under the name Bacillus sp. B-11. Its description in RNAcentral is "bacterial SSU rRNA". It matches the Rfam family "Bacterial small subunit ribosomal RNA", at positions 115 to 660 of the family's 1533-position model. Lineage: Bacteria; Bacillati; Bacillota; Bacilli; Caryophanales; Bacillaceae. The record is from RNAcentral.